UCUUCAUCAAAACCCUAGCCACCCAAACCAAGUUCUCUCCCUCUCUCCUCCAUUUUUCUCCACAACACCAUCAAAGGCAUAAUUUUUGAACAAGUUCAAGCAAAAAAUAUUUUAAGUACUUAAGCUAAGGAAGUGACUUCUUGCAUCAAAAUCCCGGAUUUUCAUCAUUUUAAGGUUCUACUUCCAAGAAUAAGGGAAAAGAGGUGUUAGAGGGUUAGUAUUUUGGAGGUCUGCGCUAUUUUUGCCAUUUUAGAUAUUUUAGAAAUUCCUUGCUUGCUUUUGAUGUUAUUAUGUAAGCAAAUGUGAUUUUUAUAUUACCUAUGUCUUGAUCUAUGCUUAAGUUGUAGUCUUUGAGCUUAGUAUGCUUUAUGUGAUAAUUUAUUUUUAGUGUUUAAUCCUAGUCUGAAAAUGUAGGGGUUGUCCCCCCUUUUAUUUUUCAUGGUUUUCAUGUUAUUUUAACAUUAUGGUGGAUACCUUUUAUGAUUUUAUGGUAUAGAUGUAAUAUGAGCUUGUUUGUGCUAAA
Jatropha curcas is the source of this 523-nucleotide long non-coding RNA. RefSeq lists it as uncharacterized. The record is from RefSeq and is a predicted model, not a curated record. Lineage: Eukaryota; Viridiplantae; Streptophyta; Magnoliopsida; Malpighiales; Euphorbiaceae.